This 73-nucleotide transfer RNA is filed under the name Lacipirellula limnantheis. Its description in RNAcentral is "Planctomycetes bacterium I41 tRNA-Arg". The record is from RNAcentral. Lineage: Bacteria; Pseudomonadati; Planctomycetota; Planctomycetia; Pirellulales; Lacipirellulaceae.
GCCUCGCGAGUGUGAUGGACGGCACAACGAUCUUCUAAAUCGUGAGACGAUGUUCGAUUCAUCGGCGAGGCGC